RNAcentral lists this ribosomal RNA (289 nucleotides) under uncultured Myxococcales bacterium. RNAcentral's name for it is "partial 16S ribosomal RNA". Lineage: Bacteria; Pseudomonadati; Myxococcota; Myxococcia; Myxococcales. The record is from RNAcentral.
CUACCCGGGUAUCUAAUCCUGUUUGCUCCCCACGCUUUCGUGUCUCAGCGUCAGUACUCGUCCAGUUGGCCGCCUUCGCCACCGGUGUUCCUCUCGAUAUCUACGAAUUUCACCUCUACACCGAGAAUUCCACCAACCUCUCCGGUACUCGAGCCACGCAGUAUCGGGUGCACUUCCCGGGUUGAGCCCGGGGCUUUCACAUCCGACUUGCGCGGCCGCCUACACACGCUUUACGCCCAGUAAUUCCGAACAACGUUUGCACCCUCUGUCUUACCGCGGCUGCUGGCAC